CGUUGAGGUCCUUGAUACCGAGAGAGGAAACACUGAGAAUCAAAGACCUGAGAGAGAACGAUUCAGCCGAGUAGUGUUUCAUAUUCACAGCAUGGAGCUCUGAAGGGACCAGCGGUUUACCUGGAACCACUUUGACCUUCAAAGAUCCAGAUGUGCAGGCGCAGGUUGAUCUGGUCUCCUGGGGGUCCGAAGCUGACUCACGUGUGUGUGUUGUCAGCUUUCAAGAGAUGAUGUAAGUCACUCUUGUUUAUUAUGCACAACAUUGAUUCAUCUCAUUUACAGAAUUUGCAGCAUAAUGUCAAGAAAAGAGAGACUCCAAAAGCAGGAGGACAGGGAAAAUAUCCUGGUCUGUUUUUGAAAUGUAUUUAUUUAUAUUAUUAUUAUUUUUAAUUUCCUGAAUAACUUUGGCAAUGGUGCCCUUUUGUUUUGGGUUGAGCAAUAAGAGAAAUGGCUCAAAGGAGUGAAAAGAAUGCGCUAUUUAAACAGACUAACAGCAUUUUACAGGCCGACUUGUUAUCAUGGUGGAAAACAAAAAGUAGACGUAGUUGUCAAAUUCCAAAUGUUUUAUUUUAAUUUAUAUCUCAGUCCUAUUGUACGAUUUGUAUGUAAUUGAAGAAACAGUGUAAUCCAUUAAAAAGAGACGUGCUGCAAUAAAUAAUGAGCUUUAUAAGUGAAUGUUCUACUUGUAUCUCUUAUUAUGUUUAGUAACAGAAUCAUGAAAUCAGACAUUACAACUGAUGAUAAUCUACUAAAAUAAGUCCAAUAUUUCUGUCCCCAUUGUUGUUGAUUUUGUGUGAGGGAAGCUGCCAAAACCGUCAUGAAUAAAAUGUCCAUUUGUGUGUGUGUGUGUGUGUGUGAGAUGCUGACGAGGAACCACAAAGCGGACCAGAAGAUGGGCAGGAUGCAUUCUCUCUGGUUUAUUCAGGUUCUUUAGGAAGAGUUCUGUUUGAAAUUACAAAAUGCACUGGUAGAAACAGAUAGAGAAAGAAACAGAGCGAGAGAAGGAGAUGGUGGGAGAGAGAGAGAGAGAAAG
This is a non-coding RNA of Gasterosteus aculeatus aculeatus (three-spined stickleback), 1033 nucleotides long. The record is from RefSeq and is a predicted model, not a curated record. NCBI's taxonomy places the organism in Eukaryota, Metazoa, Chordata, Actinopteri, Perciformes, Gasterosteidae.